This 431-nucleotide ribosomal RNA is filed under the name uncultured bacterium. RNAcentral describes it as "bacterial SSU rRNA". It matches the Rfam family "Bacterial small subunit ribosomal RNA", at positions 958 to 1392 of the family's 1533-position model. The record is from RNAcentral.
AACGCGAAGAACCUUACCUACCCUUAACAUGUUUGGAACCUCGCUGAGAGGGGAGGGUCCUUCGGGAGCCAGAACACAGGUGCUGCAUGGCUGUCGUCAGCUCGUGUCGUGAGAUGUUGGGUUAAGUCCCGCAACGAGCGCACCCCUUGCCCUAGUUGCCAUCAUUUAGUUGGGCACUCUAGUGAGACUGCCGGUGACAAACCGGAGGAAGGGGGGGAUGACGUCAAGUCCUCAUGGCCCUUAUGGGUAGGGCUUCACACGUCAUACAAUGGUCGGUACAGAGGGUUGCCAAGCCGCGAGGUGGAGCCAAUCCCUUAAAGCCGAUCGUAGUCCGGAUCGUAGUCUGCAACUCGACUACGUGAAGUCGGAAUCUCUAGUAAUCGCAGAUCAACAUGCUGCGGUGAAUACGUUCCCGGGUCUUGUACACACCG